CUAAAAUUAUUAAUUCGUUUGGUCAUUCAUAAUUAAUAUUUUUUUCUAAAUUAACCAUUUGUUUGAUCAUGUAAAUAGUAUAAAUUCACAAAAAGUAUAAAACAUAAAAAUAUUGAAUGAUUGAAAAACUAAAAUUAAGUUUGAGAAUGCAAUACUUUAUAACCUCAAUAUAUUAUCACAUAUAUCCACCAAUUAAUUACAGUACGAUCGCUAACAAUUAAUUAUAUAAAAAAAAAAAAAAAAACAUACAAAAGGCGAUCAAUCCUAACAUGUGAUUUGAACAAUAGAAAACUUCAAUUGAUCAUUUCAAUGAGUAAUUUAAUAAUUUAGAAAAAGAAUAUCAUAUGUUGUUUUUUUUUUUUGUUUUUUUUUUUUUGCAAAGAGUUGCUAAUUUAAAUGGGUUUGUUUGUUUUCAAUAUUUUUACUUAUUUGUAUUUAAACUCAUUGGAUUGUUUGUGCAUAAGUUUUAUUAUUGAUUUUUAAGAUGUGAUAAAAUAUGUUUGUAUAUUUUGUAGUAAUUUGUGGUUGCUACAUAUUAAUUACUAAUAUGUAAUUAAAAUAUUGUGAUGUAUUUAUAUACUAUGAAUUAAAAAAAGUAAUUGACAAUUAAAUCAAACUUGUAAUGAUAGUUAUAUUUUUUGUUGUUCGUUUUUUAAUCAUAGGGAUAUAUGUAAAGAAGUAGUAGAACGAGGAAGGCUAUCUCAUUUUGGAGAGGACUCCACCAUAUAUAGACAUUUAUUUGGGUGGCCAAGGUGGAUUCUCACUUAUUUUAAGAGAAGCAAAUAGUGUGCGGGAAUUAGAUUUUCCAUAAUCUCAAUAAAAAAGGAAUCAAAAACCACUACAAAGAACCAUAAUACGAUUUUUAUGAAGACAUGCUAGUCAUUUUGGAAUUUCCAUAACAAAGUUAUCUUCGAGGCAAAUUUCAUACCACCUCGUAACCUGUGGAGGUAAUUCAAAACUUCACUUAAGAGAUUGAUAGUCGUAUUUCUCAAAUCUUUUAUCACAAUCCUCGUGCUAAGGAUACAAUCUAUAUUGACUGGAGGAAGCCACAGGCAGAUUGGUCAAAGCUUAAUAGUGAUGGUACCGGCCAAAGGAAUGGAGAAACAUCAUGUUACGGUGGACUUCUUCGUAAUUAAAAAAGGAGAUGAAUCAAGGGCUAUAGUAAGAAGAUUGGAGCGUGUGAUGCUCUUCAAACUAAAAUGUGGGGUAUGUAUCUUGAGUUGGAAACAAUUGCAAGCUUUUCAGUCUUGGUGCCACACAUUUCGUAAGCUUUUUGAAUGUGAUUGACAAGUUCAAAUUUUCCAUAUCUGGAGGGAGGGAAAUGGAUGUGCUAACUCACUCGCCUCAUCUUUGCAAAAUUAUUUUGAUGACAUUCUCAGACUUGAAUGCCUCUAAAUGUCUGCCUAGUUUCGUAGUUUUUUUCUUCUUUUUAGGUCUUUGCUCUUUUUGUACCAAAAUAAAAAUGAAUCUAAAGAUAUCACCUCAUAUUAUUGAAUGAUGUAGUAUAAUUAAUGUAUUUGAUA
Cicer arietinum (chickpea) is the source of this 1523-nucleotide non-coding RNA. The record is from RefSeq and is a predicted model, not a curated record. NCBI's taxonomy places the organism in Eukaryota, Viridiplantae, Streptophyta, Magnoliopsida, Fabales, Fabaceae.